Molecule: long non-coding RNA, 273 nt
Filed under: Elaeis guineensis (African oil palm)
Lineage: Eukaryota; Viridiplantae; Streptophyta; Magnoliopsida; Arecales; Arecaceae
Description: long non-coding RNA (EGUI_LNC071970)
Source: RNAcentral
UCUACAGUGGAUGGAUUCUAGAUGAACUUCUACAACGGAUGGGCUCCAGCAGUCGCAUUUCUACAAUGACAGACUGUCUCCGAUGUCUUCCAUACUUCUCCAGCCAUCAACCUUCAACAGCACCAACCGGACUUCAACAGUGCCAACCAGACCCCUCCAACGAAUAAAUUCCCUCCGAACACCUCCAGUGGUCGACCUUCCACAGUGUCCUCCAGAUUCCUCCAACAGACGAACUCCUACCAUGCCCUCUAGACUUUUUCAAAAAUGAGCUCC